Molecule: long non-coding RNA, 1131 nt
Filed under: Ictidomys tridecemlineatus (thirteen-lined ground squirrel)
Lineage: Eukaryota; Metazoa; Chordata; Mammalia; Rodentia; Sciuridae
Description: lncRNA (ENSSTOG00000016393.3)
Source: RNAcentral
GCUAAAGAUAGUGGGCAGGAAGAGGUUGUGGAAAAAUUUCAGGGGUUUUGAAUCCCUUGAAAUUAAAUGCAAAAUGUGCCUAUAAAUUUGAGGAGGAGAAUAUUGAUAAAAUUUCAUCACAUUUUCAAAGACAUGCCUCCUGAAGGAUAAAACACCCUAACUCAGACUUUGGUGAUAAAUGCUGAAAUGUGUCCAGAAUCAUUUUCAAGAUCACACAGCUACAGCUGCGCAGUGAGGGGGAAUGGACCCAGCCUUUUUCCUGCACCCAAGAUUCCUGAACAGCCAGCUGGAAAUUCACUUAUGCCUCAGGAGACCACAGCUGCAUCUGAACACCAAGAUGAGGACCCACUAGAAGAUUCACAUCUUCAUUUGGAUAUUGAAGAAUUAAACAAGGAGUUUAUGUUGAGAAGUGAAGAACUCUAUGACUCCCUCAUGAAUUGUCACUGGCAGCCUCUGGAUACAGUCCACUCGGACAUCCCAGAUGAGACCCCAAAGUGAAGCAAGGUGUUCAGUAUCUAUCCAGAUUAACUGCAUUUGUUUUUGUUUUUGUAGGGAAAAAAAAAAAAAAAAAAAAAACCUCUUCCAUGAAUGUUCUGGAUUCUGGAUGUAAAUAAAAACUUGCAGUACCUAAAUGUUAUUGAUAUGAUGGAUUAUGAGGUACACUAACUCAUCAGCCCCUCCAUUCCUGGAAGUGUGUUACUUUAAAUAAAUGCCAGAAGAGAUGCUAUGACUAUCUUGGUAGAACAAGUUGCUCUCCGAGACAGAGGAAAACAGGUUUAAUAUAAGUUGGACUUAAAUUUAACUGAUGGUGACAUUAGCUACUCUGUUUUGUGGACUUCCUGUAACAUUAAUUUUCAUGCAAGGUUUUUCAUUUGUAUCUUGUCUAGAAAAUGUCAAUUGGAACUAGAUGUUUGUUCUCCACUGACCCUGGGGUGCUCUGUAAGAAAGCUGGUGUGACGGUGGAAGACAGUGGAGAUGAACUUGUCUCAACUGAACAGAAAGAUUCCUAAGCAUGGAAAAAAAAAAUUGCCUUUUCCAGAUUGUUGAUUUUCUAAGAGGAAAGAAUUGGGCCUUUGUAAAAGCCAGUUCUGGAAAAUAAAUAAAAGUCAGUGCAGAAACUUCAGUGAGUCU